UUUCCGUAGGUGAACCUGCGGAAGGAUCAUUCAUAAUAAAGUGUUUUAUGGCACUUUUUAAAAAUCCAUAUCCACCUUGUGUGCAAUGUUAGAUCUCGUCAAUCUUGGCGAGAUUUUUAUACAUCAACUCAUUUUUUAACUAAUUUGUCUGAAAAAUAUUAUGAAUACUUAGUUCAAAAUACAACUUUCAACAACGGAUCUCUUGGCUCUC
This 211-nucleotide unclassified non-coding RNA is filed under the name plant metagenome. RNAcentral describes it as "partial contains small subunit ribosomal RNA, internal transcribed spacer 1, and 5.8S ribosomal RNA". The record is from RNAcentral.